RNAcentral lists this ribosomal RNA (425 nucleotides) under uncultured bacterium. Its description in RNAcentral is "partial 16S ribosomal RNA". It matches the Rfam family "Bacterial small subunit ribosomal RNA", at positions 354 to 796 of the family's 1533-position model. The record is from RNAcentral.
GUGGGGAAUAUUGGACAAUGGGCGCAAGCCUGAUCCAGCCAUGCCGCGUGAGUGAUGAAGGCCCUAGGGUUGUAAAGCUCUUUCAGUGGGGACGAUAAUGACGGUACCCACAGAAGAAGCCCCGGCUAACUUCGUGCCAGCAGCCGCGGUAAUACGAAGGGUGCUAGCGUUGUUCGGAUUUACUGGGCGUAAAGCGCACGUAGGCGGAUCGUUAAGUCGAGGGUGAAAUCCUGGAGCUCAACUCCAGAACUGCCUUCGAUACUGGCGAUCUUGAGUCCGGAAGAGGUGAGUGGAACUCCUAGUGUAGAGGUGGAAUUCGUAGAUAUUAGGAAGAACACCAGUGGCGAAGGCGGCUCACUGGUCCGGUACUGACGCUGAGGUGCGAAAGCGUGGGGAGCAAACAGGAUUAGAUACCCGGGUAGUCC